GAUGAACGCUGGCGGCGUGCCUAAUACAUGCCAGUCGAGCGAACAGACGAGGAGCUUGCUCCUCUGACGUUAGCGGCGGACGGGUGAGUAACACGUGGAUAACCUACCUAUAAGACUGGGAUAACUUCGGGAAACCGGAGCUAAUACCGGAUAAUAUAUUGAACCGCAUGGUUCAAUAGUGAAAGACGGUUUUGCUGUCACUUAUAGAUGGAUCCGCGCCGCAUUAGCUAGUUGGUAAGGUAACAGCUUACCAAGGCAACGAUGCGUAGCCGACCUGAGAGGGUGAUCGGCCACACUGGAACGGAGACACGGUCCAGACUCCUACGGGAGGCAGCAGUAGGGAAUCUGCCGCAAUGGGCGAAAGCCUGACGGAGCAACGCCGCGUGAGUUAUGAAGGUCUUCGGAUCGUAAAACUCUGUUAUUAGGGAAGAACAAAUGUGUAAGUAACUAUGCACGUCUUGACGGUACCUAAUCAGAAAGCCACGGCUAACUACGUG
This 497-nucleotide ribosomal RNA is filed under the name uncultured bacterium. Its description in RNAcentral is "partial 16S ribosomal RNA". It matches the Rfam family "Bacterial small subunit ribosomal RNA", at positions 28 to 507 of the family's 1533-position model. The record is from RNAcentral.